RNAcentral lists this long non-coding RNA (265 nucleotides) under Vigna radiata. Its description in RNAcentral is "long non-coding RNA (VRAD_LNC017035)". The record is from RNAcentral. Lineage: Eukaryota; Viridiplantae; Streptophyta; Magnoliopsida; Fabales; Fabaceae.
UGGGAUUUCUGGAAAUGUGGUAAUAUUUGAGUUAGAGACUCUUUGGCUUAAUAUUCUCCAUUUAUUUGUCUGGUGACUAGUCGGGAGUCACUUUAGCAUCUUAGCUAUUUUACACAGAGUUCUUGUGCAAGUUUCAAAUUGAUAAUAAAAGCCUUGUAUUUAGCUUGGCUAUUUUAAGUAUUAAAAUAGAAUUGAAUAGCUUAUUCAAUAAUGAUGUUAUCUGCUCCAUCCAAGUUGAUACUUGCCCCAGUGCCUUUCUUAUUUG